Long non-coding RNA from Strigops habroptila (Kakapo), 1701 nucleotides. NCBI's taxonomy places the organism in Eukaryota, Metazoa, Chordata, Aves, Psittaciformes, Psittacidae. The record is from Ensembl.
GGCCUGUUGUAGUAGUAGUAAUUAUUAUAUCUGCAUCAGUUUAUGGAUGCCUCUAAAUGGAAUAAGCUUUGUCUAAGAUAUGCAUGAUUGUUUAAUUGGUUAAAAUGUAGUGUGUGUGUGGUCUCAUUCAGCAUAUUUAAUACAGAGUUGAUUAACGAAUGUUAACAUUGGAAUUGCUUAGAUUUAGUCAUGACAACUUUUUGCUGUAGCUAUUAGACAAUCUCAAGGGCUGAAAACCAACUGCUCAUGAAUGGAUACUGUACCGUUCUGGCUGCCAGCAAAUUUGUACAGUAAUGUUCUGUAUAGUUUCAGAUUGAAUUUAUACAAUCCUUUAGAAGAUAUUUACAGUAACUACUGUAUUUGAGAAUGUAUUUUGAAAAAGACUUGGAAAGUAACUGUCUUCGGACAAGCUAUAGGUGAUGCUAUGUAUUUACGGUAUAGAAGUAAUGCAGCUCAGUUGUGUAAAUGUGAUUUAGGUUGCUCACCCCUGCUCUGCAGCUUUGUAGUGUGAUAGUUGUGUGAAAUUGUGGAGAUUGCUGUAACCAUGCACUCGGGCUCCAGCAUUCGAAACUGCCGGUGGCCAUGAAGCCAUUACAAGAGCUGAAAUUUCGUCCAUUACACUUACAAAGGGUUCCUUCCUUUGCCCUUGCUGCCCGCCUUUCAUUUCAAAUGGAGGGGGGGAGGGUUGACGUUUCUCUUGCAGUGUAAGAGCACAAGGAAAGAAAGCAAACCCCUUCUUCUGUGACCUGCUGUCCUAGCAUGGGCCGCGAUGGCACGCUGCAGUCACUCUGCAUGGGAGUAAUUUGCUCCAGUUUUCCUUGUCCUUAUCAAUGAUGUUACACAGGUCGAGUUGGAGCUAUAAUUGGGCUCUUCUCAUUGAUGUGAGAAGUUCUGUCGUGAGGGGGGAGAACAUCAUCUGAACUAAUCUGCAUUCUUAGACUGCAAACAAAUCAAUGGUUGUUAUCUAAAGAGAUGACUUAUUCUGGUAGCUCAUUAGCAAUAUUAAUUCACAGCUGCAUACCUUUGUGCCUUUUUUUGCCUGAAGUAAGUGUAUAUUCCCCUUGAACUUUAAAGAGGUUAUUAGGAUGCUGAUGACUGCACCUUGUUUUCUUCUUACCUGCCGAUAUUUUGUUCAUAAGUUUUUGUAGUAGAACUCUCGCAUGAUGUCUAGAAACAGAAGUACUUAAACUAGGUACUAGGUGUACACUUUGAAUGUUAGGCUGGUUGUAGUAUGCAGCGUGAGCAGGAAACUCCAACCGUAAUGUGUUCGUUUUGUGUAUAUAAAUUGCAGUAUAUCAUUAGUUCAGUGGGGAGGAGUGUCUGGAGCUAUCUUUUAAAAGCACAGCUGACAUAUGUACUGGAUCAGUCCCUGAAGACUGGUAGUUUUGUAAAUUGGGUUCAAUUUAUGAACCGCUCAGAAUACCUCAUAUGUAAAUAGAGUUGUCAUGACUUAAUCACAAUGUGUUCAUUGUAAAAAGUAAAGGAGCCACUGGCUGGCUCAGCUUUAGGCUUGUUGUUCUUGCCUCUUUUUGUAAUUUUUUUUAAAGUAGGGUUUACAGCUAGAAUUUUGAAUGCCAAAGUUCUAUUUAUUAAAUAAUAAUAAAAGUUUUCAUUGUUAAUGACUGGUAUUUUUCCACUGGAAUUUGUUUGUUGAUGUUUGGGAUUUGUAUCCACAGAGCAAAAAUAAAUUUUGUUACAAAA